GAUGAACGCUAGCUACAGGCUUAACACAUGCAAGUCGUGGGGCAGCGGGUACUUAGCUUGCUAAGUAUGCCGGCGACCGGCGCACGGGUGAGUAACGCGUACCGAACCUGCCCAUCACACAGGGAUAGGCUUGCGAAAGCAAGAUUAAUACCUGAUGGUCUCAGUUGUAUGCAUGUAUGAUUGAGUAAAGCCUUCGGGCGGUGAUGGAUGGCGGUGCGUCCCAUUAGGAAGUUGGCGGGGUAACGGCCCACCAAUCCUUCGAUGGGUAGGGGUUCUGAGAGGAAGGUCCCCCACAUUGGAACUGAGAUACGGUCCAAACUCCUACGGGAGGCAGCAGUGAGGAAUAUUGGUCAAUGGGCGAGAGCCUGAACCAGCCAAGUAGCGUGCGGGAUGAAGGCCCUUGUGGUCGUAAACCGCUUUUAUCAGUGAAUAAAGUGCACCACGUGUGGUGUCAUUGGCAGGUAGCUGAAGAAAAAGGACCGGCUAAU
This 488-nucleotide ribosomal RNA is filed under the name Alloprevotella tannerae. RNAcentral describes it as "bacterial SSU rRNA". It matches the Rfam family "Bacterial small subunit ribosomal RNA", at positions 28 to 501 of the family's 1533-position model. Lineage: Bacteria; Pseudomonadati; Bacteroidota; Bacteroidia; Bacteroidales; Prevotellaceae. The record is from RNAcentral.